Molecule: RNA transcript, 1277 nt
Organism: Raphanus sativus (radish)
Lineage: Eukaryota; Viridiplantae; Streptophyta; Magnoliopsida; Brassicales; Brassicaceae
Exons: 5
Source: RefSeq, a predicted model, not a curated record
UUAGAUUAAUGAAAAUUUCAUUCGCAACGACAGACAGACAGACAGUCGAAGAAAGGGCAAGUAAAAACCGAUUUUAAUCGUUGAAUCUGUAAAGUUUUUUGAUUUUUCCGGUGAGACCGUCGUUUUUUCCGAUCACCGUCAGAAGGAGAUGGGAUCUUCGAUUUCUUAGUGUCUGAGUAUAAAUUCAGCGGAGAAAGAAGAAGAAGAGGGUUUUCUCUUAGGAGAUGGACUCGGAAGAAACCGAAACGGCGUCGUCUGUGACGAAGAGAAAGAAGAAGAAGAAGAGGGUUUUCUCUUCGUUGGCUUUGAGAUUCUGUACAGCGAUCGUUUUCUCCAUCAUCGGCUUCUUCUUCUUGUCGUUUCUCUUAGGGAUCUUAGUGAUUCUACUCGGCGAAUUGUGGGUUUCUUCUUCUUCUUCUUCCUCUGCCUCUCUUGCUUCUCGCUGCAGAAUUCUCUCCAGCUCGGUUGAUCUAAGGUCUUCCAAAGUGUGCGGGAUUGGACUUUGAACAUCAAAGCACAACAUGUGUUUUACCCUUUUGAGAGAGAUAAAUUCAGAUGUCGCUACGAUUACUACUGGGCUUCUGUCUUCAAGGUUGAGUAUACAGAUCACUUGAUGGGUCAAACAAGGCUAGCUUUCUCUGAAGCACCUAACGAAGCCCUUCCUCCUGAGUGCAGACCUAACUUUGGUGCCGCUUUGCUCACCAAAGAUAAAUACAAGGUGAAUGAAACUUAUGACUGCUGGUAUACACUAGGGAUUCCAAAGAUCAAGCUUUAUCAAGAUGGCUUUUUCGGUUGCCAACCAGAUGAUCUUUCUUUUACCCACAUUUUUAAACAAUACGCUGUCUUAUUCUCUAAAUUGUUACAAUCGUGGUUAAGUGUAAAUGGAAGACGGAAGUACUGGAGAUAUGAUGUGAUCGCUGGCAUUGUAUCUGGCUUCUCAACCUCCAUUAUCACGGUCUUCAUCGUACGGAUCUUGAGACAUGCGAAAUCUUGGUUCCCUCGAGCUUGUUGUUCAGUUAGAAGCCAGCUUUCUAAAGUGAACCUCUUGGUGCAAGUGAAGCGUGCUUGUUUGGUUCUUGUUUACUUCUCCAUCCUCGGGUGGAUGGCUACACAAUACUUGAAAAUUCUUUUUCCUAAGGCUUAGAGAAAAAAAAAAGAAACACAUUCCUUGAGAGAGAGAGAGAGUGAGAGAGUUGUUGAGUAUGUAAUGAUUCGUAGAGAGUUGUGUGAUGUAAUCUUAAAUUAUUUACAGCAAAAGAAAGCAAUUCAGAGAACAA